Long non-coding RNA from Cebus imitator (Panamanian white-faced capuchin), 308 nucleotides. RefSeq lists it as uncharacterized. The record is from RefSeq and is a predicted model, not a curated record. NCBI's taxonomy places the organism in Eukaryota, Metazoa, Chordata, Mammalia, Primates, Cebidae. The transcript is spliced from 3 exons.
AGCAGAGCGAAGGGGGCGGGGCUCUCGCCUGCUCACCGCCCGACCGCCCGGCGGAAAGGGCCGAACGAUCCCGGAAGGAGCCGAAGCGGCGAUGCAGGAGAAGAGGACAAUAAUGUGACAAAAACAUGGAUCCUCAGCCUGAUGAAUGAGGUCAAGUCUGAAAACAAGAAAGAGAACAAACACCGCGUUUCACCAUAUUGACCAGGCUGAUCUUGAACUCCUGACCUUGUUAUCUGCCUGCCAUGGCCUCCCGAAGUGCUUGGGAUUACAAGGAUGAGCCACCGCGCCUGGACAUCAUGUGGAUCUCU